RNAcentral lists this ribosomal RNA (1401 nucleotides) under Triticum aestivum (bread wheat). Its description in RNAcentral is "partial small subunit ribosomal RNA". The record is from RNAcentral. Lineage: Eukaryota; Viridiplantae; Streptophyta; Magnoliopsida; Poales; Poaceae.
AUGCUCGUGGCCGCGCUGAGGCACAUGCUGCGCCGCGUCCUCGCCGGCCUCCGCGCGCUGCACCCGCGCACGCGCAGGCGCCGGCAAGGCGGCGCUGGGGCUGGCGCUGCGGCCGGUGUCGGAGCGGCGACGGUGCCCAAGGCGCGCGUGACCGUGCGCCGGCUGGGCAGCAACGGCGGGAGCAGGAAGGCCGGUACCCUGCGCGGCGGUGCUGAUGGGUCGGCGCCGGGCGAGGGACGGCAGCCGGUGACCAUCCGCGUGGCGACGUUCAACGCGGCGCUGUUCUCCAUGGCGCCCGCGGUGGCCGCAGUCCCUGAAGCGGGAGCGGAGCGCGAGGCCGCGCGCCGGAGCGGCGCCGGCACGGGCACGGGCGCGCGGCCGCGGCCCAAGGGGAUCCUGAAGGCGCAGGCGAGCCUGCUGUCGCGGGCGCCGAGCAAGGCGCGCGUGUCCAUCAACCUGCAGGACAACGAGAUCUCCCUCGACCGGAGCGGCAAGCUCGGCAGCCCGAGGGCCCGGAAGCCGCAGUCCCGGCUGCAGCAUCAGGUGGUCGUGGGCGGGCUGGACGCGAGCCGGCGGCGGAGCGUGGAGGAGGUGCUGCGGGAGACGGGCGCCGACAUCAUCGGGCUGCAGAACGUGCGCGCCGAGGAGGAGCGCGGGAUGCGGCCGCUGUCGGAGCUGGCGGGCGCGCUGGGCAUGCGGUACGUGUUCGCCGAGAGCUGGGCGCCCGAGUACGGCAACGCCGUGCUCUCCCGCUGGCCCAUCAAGCGCUGGAAGGCGCUCCGCGUCGCCGACCAGUCCGACUUCAGGAACGUGCUGAGGGCCACGAUCGAGGUGCCGCGGGCCGGGGAGGUGAACUUCCACUGCACGCACCUGGACCACCUGGACGAGAGCUGGCGGAUGAAGCAGGUGGACGCCAUGCUCCGCUCCGUCGACGGCCCCCACAUCCUCGCCGGCGGCCUCAACGCGCUCGACGGCACCGACUACUCCGCCGACAGAUGGGCCGACAUCGUCAAGUACUACGAGGAGAUCGGCAAGCCGACGCCCAAGGUGGAGGUGAUGAAGUACCUCAAGGGGAAGCAGUACGUGGACGCCAAGGAUUUCGCCGGAGAGUGCGAGGCCGUGGUGGUCGUGGCCAAAGGCCAAGACGUGCAAGGGACGUGCAAGUACGGCACGAGGGUGGACUACAUUCUCGCGUCGCCCAGCUCCCCCUACAAGUUCGUGCCGGGGUCCUACACGGUCGUCUCCUCCAAGGGGACGUCGGACCACCACAUCGUCAGGGUCGACGUCACGAUAGUGCCGGACACGAGGGACGCGGACGAGCAGGCCGCCGGGGGCCGGAAGCAGAGGGUGGUGAAGAUGAGCAAGAAGGGGUCCAGAAAAGGGAUAUGGGCGGCCAAAUGA